RNAcentral lists this ribosomal RNA (374 nucleotides) under uncultured bacterium. RNAcentral's name for it is "bacterial SSU rRNA". It matches the Rfam family "Bacterial small subunit ribosomal RNA", at positions 30 to 416 of the family's 1533-position model. The record is from RNAcentral.
AUUGAACGCUGGCGGCAGGCUUAACACAUGCAAGUCAAGCGGAGACUUCGGUCUUAGCGGCGAACGGGUGAGGAAUGCCUGGGAAUCUGCCUGGUAGUGGGGGAUAACGUUCCGAAAGGAACGCUAAUACCGCAUACGUCCUACGGGAGAAAGCAGGGGACCUUCGGGCCUUGCGCUAUCAGAUGAGCCCAGGUCGGAUUAGCUAGUAGGUGAGGUAAAGGCUCACCUAGGCGACGAUCCGUAGCUGGUCUGAGAGGAUGAUCAGCCACACUGGAACUGAGACACGGUCCAGACUCCUACGGGAGGCAGCAGUGGGGAAUAUUGGACAAUGGGCGAAAGCCUGAUCCAGCCAUGCCGCGUGUGUGAAGAAGGCC